UACGGAGGGUGCAAGCGUUGUCCGGAAUCACUGGGCGUAAAGCGCACGCAGGCGGUCUGCUAAGUUUGGAGUGACAGUUGGUGGCUUAACUGCCAAAGUGCUUCGAAAACUGACAGACUUGAGGGCUUCAGAGGGACACGGAAUUCCGGGUGGAGUGGUGAAAUGCGUAGAGAUCCGGAGGAACACCAAAGGCGAAGGCAGUGUCCUGGGGAGUACCUGACGCUCAGGUGCGAAAGCCAGGGGAGCGAACGGG
RNAcentral lists this ribosomal RNA (253 nucleotides) under uncultured bacterium. RNAcentral's name for it is "partial 16S ribosomal RNA". It matches the Rfam family "Bacterial small subunit ribosomal RNA", at positions 524 to 776 of the family's 1533-position model. The record is from RNAcentral.